CACAACAAAUAACUUGAUUAUAAGGAACAAAUGUCAUGUGAAGCAAAUAAUUUCCUUAGAAAAAAGAGGGCCAAGAAAAAGACGCAAAAGCAUAGCUUGCUCCUUGAUUCCAGUUUCUGCAUCCACCAUUGAUAAGCAUGGGACUGAGCAAAUGAGUAUCAAAAGGAAGUCAAGGAAGCUUCGCC
Triticum aestivum (bread wheat) is the source of this 185-nucleotide long non-coding RNA. RefSeq lists it as uncharacterized. Lineage: Eukaryota; Viridiplantae; Streptophyta; Magnoliopsida; Poales; Poaceae. The record is from RefSeq and is a predicted model, not a curated record. The transcript is spliced from 3 exons.